AGAGUUUGAUCCUGGCUCAGGAUGAACGCUGGCGGCGUGCUUAACACAUGCAAGUCGAACGAUCCUUCGGGAUAGUGGCGGACGGGUGAGUAACGCGUGGGAAUCUGCCCUUAGGAGGGGGAUAACGGCUGGAAACGGCCGCUAAUACCCCAUAUGCCGAGAGGUGAAACGAAUUUCGCCUGAGGAUGAGCCCGCGUCUGAUUAGCUAGUUGGUGGGGUAAAGGCCUACCAAGGCGACGAUCAGUAGCUGGUCUGAGAGGAUGAUCGGCCACACUGGGACUGAGACACGGCCCAGACUCCUACGGGAGGCAGCAGUGGGGAAUUUUCCGCAAUGGGCGAAAGCCUGACGGAGCAACGCCGCGUGAGGGAUGAAGGCCUCUGGGCUGUAAACCUCUUUUCUCAAGGAAGAAGAACUGACGGUACUUGAGGAAUAAGCCACGGCUAAUUCCGUGCCAGCAGCCGCGGUAAUACGGGAGUGGCAAGCGUUAUCCGGAAUUAUUGGGCGUAAAGCGUCCGCAGGCGGCCUUGUAAGUCUGUUGUUAAAGCGUGGAGCUCAACUCCAUUUAAGCAAUGGAAACUACAAGGCUGGAGUGUGGUAGGGGCAGAGGGAAUUCCCGGUGUAGCGGUGAAAUGCGUAGAUAUCGGGAAGAACACCAGUGGCGAAGGCGCUCUGCUGGGCCAUAACUGACGCUCAUGGACGAAAGCCAGGGGAGCGAAAGGGAUUAGAUACCCCUGUAGUCCUGGCCGUAAACGAUGAACACUAGGUGUCGGGGGAAUCGACCCCCUCGGUGUCGUAGCCAACGCGUUAAGUGUCCCGCCUGGGGAGUACGCACGCAAGUGUGAAACUCAAAGGAAUUGACGGGGGCCCGCACAAGCGGUGGAGUAUGUGGUUUAAUUCGAUGCAACGCGAAGAACCUUACCAGGGUUUGACAUCCUGCGAAUCCCUUGGAAACGAGGGAGUGCCUUCGGGAGCGCAGUGACAGGUGGUGCAUGGCUGUCGUCAGCUCGUGUCGUGAGAUGUUGGGUUAAGUCCCGCAACGAGCGCAACCCACGUCUUUAGUUGCCAGCAUUCAGUUGGGCACUCUAGAGAGACCGCCGGUGAUAAACCGGAGGAAGGUGUGGAUGACGUCAAGUCAUCAUGCCCCUUACAUCCUGGGCUACACACGUACUACAAUGCUACGGACAAAGGGCAGCAAGCUCGCGAGAGUUAGCAAAUCCCAUAAACCGUGGCUCAGUUCAGAUCGUAGGCUGCAACUCGCCUACGUGAAGGAGGAAUCGCUAGUAAUCGCAGGUCAGCAUACUGCGGUGAAUACGUUCCCGGGCCUUGUACACACCGCCCGUCACACCAUGGAAGUUGGCCAUGCCCGAAGUCGUUACUCCAACCCUUGUGGAGGAGGACGCCGAAGGUGGGGCUGAUGACUGGGGUGAAGUCGAAACAAGGUA
RNAcentral lists this ribosomal RNA (1443 nucleotides) under metagenome. Its description in RNAcentral is "bacterial SSU rRNA". It matches the Rfam family "Bacterial small subunit ribosomal RNA". The record is from RNAcentral.